Molecule: ribosomal RNA, 449 nt
Filed under: uncultured bacterium
Lineage: Bacteria
Description: partial 16S ribosomal RNA
Rfam family: Bacterial small subunit ribosomal RNA
Source: RNAcentral
AACGAACGCUGGCGGCAUGCCUAACACAUGCAAGUCGAACGAGAUCUUCGGGUCUAGUGGCGCACGGGUGCGUAACGCGUGGGAAUCUGCCCUUUGGUUCGGAAUAACAGUUGGAAACGACUGCUAAUACCGGAUGAUGACGAAAGUCCAAAGAUUUAUCGCCAGAGGAUGAGCCCGCGUAGGAUUAGCUAGUUGGUGUGGUAAAGGCGCACCAAGGCGACGAUCCUUAGCUGGUCUGAGAGGAUGAUCCGCCACACUGGGACUGGGAAACGGCCCAGACUCCUACGGGAGGCAGCAGUGGGGAAUAUUGGACAAUGGGCGAAAGCCUGAUCCAGCAAUGCCGCGUGAGUGAUGAAGGCCUUAGGGUUGUAAAGCUCUUUUACCCGGGAUGAUAAUGACAGUACCGGGAGAAUAAGCUCCGGCUAACUCCGUGCCAGCCGCCGCGGUAA